ACGCACGCUGGCGGCGUGCCUAAUACAUGCCAGUAGAACGCUGAAGGAGGAGCUUGCUUCUCCGGAUGAGUUGCGAACGGGUGAGUAACGCGUAGGUAACCUGCCUGGUAGCGGGGGAUAACUAUUGGAAACGAUAGCUAAUACCGCAUAACAGUAGAUAUUGCAUGAUAUCUGCUUGAAAGGUGCAAUUGCAUCACUACCAGAUGGACCUGCGUUGUAUUAGCUAGUUGGUGAGGUAACGGCUCACCAAGGCGACGAUACAUAGCCGACCUGAGAGGGUGAUCGGCCACACUGGGACUGAGACACGGCCCAGACUCCUACGGGAGGCAGCAGUAGGGAAUCUUCGGCAAUGGACGGAAGUCUGACCGAGCAACGCCGCGUGAGUGAAGAAGGUUUUCGGAUCGUAAAGCUCGGUUGUAAGAGAAGAACGAGUGUGAGAGUGGAAAGUUCACACUGUGACGGUAUCUUACCAGAAAGGGACGGCUAACUACGUG
This 494-nucleotide ribosomal RNA is filed under the name uncultured bacterium. Its description in RNAcentral is "partial 16S ribosomal RNA". It matches the Rfam family "Bacterial small subunit ribosomal RNA", at positions 29 to 507 of the family's 1533-position model. The record is from RNAcentral.